CCGUCAUGACCUCCACUAGAAUCUUUUUAAAAUUUUUUUUCUAAAAGAUCUCACCACACACAAAUCAGAUUUUAUGUUCAACACAUGAACAAUCUGAUUUUUAGGACAAGUAUCUCAUACUUUUCUUUUUCUCUCUUCCUUUCCUUUCUAUUUUUCUCUCCCUAUUUUUCUUAUCUUUUUCAAAAUUUUUUCUAUCAAUUUCCUCUCAUUUCCACACCCAUCUAUAGUCAAAAAUAGCAUGU
This 242-nucleotide long non-coding RNA is filed under the name Elaeis guineensis (African oil palm). Its description in RNAcentral is "long non-coding RNA (EGUI_LNC077633)". The record is from RNAcentral. Lineage: Eukaryota; Viridiplantae; Streptophyta; Magnoliopsida; Arecales; Arecaceae.